RNAcentral lists this ribosomal RNA (1478 nucleotides) under uncultured bacterium. RNAcentral's name for it is "bacterial SSU rRNA". It matches the Rfam family "Bacterial small subunit ribosomal RNA". The record is from RNAcentral.
CCUGGCUCAGGAUGAACGCUGGCGGCGUGCCUAAUACAUGCAAGUCGAACGGGCAUAGCAAUAUGCUAGUGGCGUUCGGGUGCGUAACACGUAGUUGACUUACCCCUCAGCGGGGGACAACAGUCCGAAAGGACUGCUAAUACCGCAUGAACUUUGGAGAACUAGAGUAACCAAAGAAAACUCUUGGGGCUGAGGGAGAGGACUGCGGCCCAUCAGGUAGUUGGAGAGGUAACGGCUCCCCAAGCCAAUGACGGGUAGGGGGUCUGAGAGGAUGGUCCCCCACACUGGAACUGACAACGGUCCAGACUCCUACGGGAGGCAGCAGUAAGGGAUAUUGGGCAAUGGGGGGAACCCUGACCCAGCAACGCCGCGUUGAGGAAGAAGGCUUUCGGGUUGUAAACUCAUUUUGGCGGGGACGAGAGAGGACGGUACCCGCAGAAGAAGUCACGGCUAACUACGUGCCAGCAGCCGCGGUAAAACGUAGGUGGCAAGCGUUAUCCGGAUUUACUGGGCGUAAAGGGUGUGCAGGCGGAUGGACAAGUGGUGGAUGAAAGACCCUGGCUUAACUGGGGGAACGUAAACCAGACUGUUCAUCUGGAACAUGAGAGAGGGAUGUGGAAUUCCGGGUGUAGUGGUGAAAUGCGUAAGAUCCGGAGGAACACCAGAGGCGAAAGCGGCAUCCUGGCUCAUAUUGACGCUCAACACAAAGCAUUGGGAGCGAACGGGAUUAGAAACCCCGGUAGUCCAUGCCGUAAACGAUGCAAACUUAGGCGCUGGGAAGGCUCCAACCCCUUUUCGGGUGCCGCACAAACGCCAUUAAUUCUUGCCGCCUUGGGGACUUNCAAACCGCAGGUUUAAACCUCCAAAGGAAUUGACGGGGGCCCGCACAAGCAGCGGAGCGUGUGGUUUAAUUCGAGGCUACACGAAGAACCUUACCUAGGUUUGACAUGUGUUCAGUAGGCUGGUGAAAGCUGGCCGACCGCAAGGCGAACACACAGGUGCUGCAUGGCUGUCGUCAGCUCGUGCCGUGAGGUGUUAGGUUAAGUCCUGUAACGAGCGCAACCCUCGGGUCUAGUUACAUGUUGUCUAGACCGACUGCCCGUGCAAGCGGGAGGAAGGUGGGGAUGACGUCAAGUCAGCAUGGCCUUUAUAUCUAGGGCUACACACACGCUACAAUGGUCGGUACAAUGGGCAGCCAAGCCGUAAGGCGGAGCGAAUCCAGACAAAGCCGAUCUCAGUUCGGAUUGAGGGCUGCAACCCGCCCUCAUGAAGUUGGAGUUGCUAGUAACCGUCGGUCAGCCAUACGACGGUGAAUACGUUCCCGGGCCUUGUACACACCGCCCGUCACGUCAUGGGAGCUGGUCACGCCUGAAGCCGGUGGGCUAACCGCAAGGGGGCAACCGUCGAAGGCAGGGUCGGUGACUGGGACGAAGUCGUAACAAGGUAGCUGUAGCGGAAGCUGCGGCUGGAUCACCUCC